This 2374-nucleotide long non-coding RNA is filed under the name Olea europaea (common olive). RNAcentral describes it as "long non-coding RNA (OEUR_LNC001241)". Lineage: Eukaryota; Viridiplantae; Streptophyta; Magnoliopsida; Lamiales; Oleaceae. The record is from RNAcentral.
CCCACUAGCCUUACGGGGGGGACGAUGGUUCGUCUCCGUCAUCAAUCAAAAGAAAUCUCAUCUGUACAUAUUGAGCACGAGCUCUCUCAACUGUCAAAUUAAGAUCAACUCAUCUUUAGUCUUUUUCGACCUUGAGUUGCCACUGACCUUGAGGUCUAGACAAGUCCAACUAGUCAGAUCCUUACCAACUCUUCCACCUUAUAGUCGCACAAAUAAUUCUCUGCAAAUUUUACUGAGAGUACAGAUUUUGGACAUGGGAUCUGUUGGGAAUCAAAAUCUUUCGACUCCUUAUGAUAAUUCUAAGGAGUGUUCACAAGGGAAUUGCAGUAUAAAUUGUCCACGAUGGUGUUACUUUAACUUCCCUCCUCCUCCGUUAGAUGAUGAUUCAGGUACCCAUUUUUCCCCACUAAUCAUCGCCAUCAUAGCAAUCCUGGCAGUUGGUUUCCUUGUAGUAAGCUACUAUAUGAUAGUAAAACGGUAUUGCCGGAGAAGAAAUGAUCCAAACACGAGUAUCGAAACCCAAGAGAUUCUUGAUGGACUGACUCGUGAUCAGAUGGCCGGUGCCUCGACUGGAUUGGAUGAGGCACUUAUUAAGACCAUCACAGUCUUUAAGUACAAGAAAGGCGAUGGCCUAAUUGAUGGGGCUGAAUGUGUAGUUUGUUUGAAUGAAUUUCAAGAAAAUGAGUCUCUUAGACUAAUGCCAAAUUGUAUGCAUGGUUUUCACCUUCCUUGUAUCGAUCCAUGGUUGAAAUCUCACCCGAGUUGUCCUAUUUGUCGUGUCGAUGUUAACUUGACCUAUCCGUUGCCUCCACCUGCCCGGAAUUCUCAAACUCCAUCGACUGUCAACGUGGCUUCUCUGGAGAUUCAGAGGCCGGAUGAUUUGAUUUUAGUGGUGGAUGAUCACGAGAGGGAUCGUUCAGAAGAGGUGGUUCCAAGUGUAGUCGAUAAUGAUGUUCGACCGAAGAGCCCCCUGCGAAAUGUUAGUACUGCACAAGAUUCUGAAACAAGAAUUGACAUUAUCGGAACUCCCGAAAAGGAUGUUAAGAAAUUUAGCAGAUCGAUUUCUCCGGGUGCAUUUUCGAGCCAACGCCAGCGCUGAUAUUCCGAGGAUUGAAGAAGCAUAUGAAGGAUUACAAAUGGAAAGUUCCUUAAGAAGAAGAAUAGCAUGGAAUGAGAACUAGCAAGAAGACCUGUUACAAUGAGAAGAUCCAUUUCUACUGGAAGAUUCAUAUUCCAUAAUAAAGGCAAGAAUUCUAUAAUCCCACAUUGAACAUAAAAAUAUUGUAAAGACAAUUUCUUUACUUCAUACCAACUUUACCUCUUUAGUCCUUUAUCUAUUUAUGUUUAGCACAGUAGGAAAGAAACAUGUGAUCUUUGAGUUUGAUACUUGUGAUGCCUAAUAUGGGAUUGAGUGGAAAAUGAAACAGAAUUUGUCAUUUAUUAGUGGAAAAAUUGUGUGAACAACUUGCUUGAAGAAUACCAGAAUGUGCCAGCAAAAAUAGAGGCACCUCGAUCAGUAAGUUAAGUGAUGGCCUCACAAGAAUUACUUAUUUAUAUCUAUUUAUAAAUUAAACCAUGUAAUUCUGCCCAAACGGAGGCUUAACCUUCUAUGGAAAGUAUUGCCAAGACUACUUCAAAAUUUUAGGGGCCAUAUAGAUUAGGCUAUUGUCAAUGCAAAAUGGAAUUUUGAAGUUAUCUAUUUGAAAACAGAUUUAUAUCAUUGUUUUUGGUGCAAGGGUAGAUUAAAUUUGAUAUAUGUGGAUGUGAUUUAGGUACCUCCUUCUACAGUUCAUUAAGUUACAUUUGGUGAUUCUUUUAGUGCACUCUCUCAAGUCAAGCCUUACUUGUGUCGAUAACCUUUUGGAUCGUGGGGGGGGGGGGCGGCAUGGCUAAGAAUAACAAGAUGAGGUCCAUAUUGUUUUCGAAAUGGACAAAGACUUAUCAACUACUACAACUUUACUUCCCUUAACAUCUAAGCUUCCCUUCAUCCACACAAAAAACUUCUCGAAUCUCUUCCCUCUUCUCUCUCUCCCACUAGCCUUACGGGGGGGACGAUGGUUCGUCUCCGUCAUCAAUCAAAAGAAAUCUCAUCUGUCCAUAUUGAGCACGAGGUCUCUCAACUGUCAAAUUGAGAUCAACUCAUCUUUAGUCUUUUUCGACCUUGAGUUGCCACUGACCUUGAGGUCUAGACAAGUCCAACUAGUCAGAUCCUUACCAACUCUUCCACCUUAUAGUCGCACAAAUAAUUCUCUGCAAAUUUUACUGAGAGUACAGAUUUUGGACAUGGGAUCUGUUGGGAAUCAAAAUCUUUCGACUCCUUAUGAUAAUUCUAAGGAGUGUUCACAAGGGAAUUGCAGUAUAAAUUGUCCACGAU